This is a non-coding RNA of Pteropus alecto (black flying fox), 139 nucleotides long. Lineage: Eukaryota; Metazoa; Chordata; Mammalia; Chiroptera; Pteropodidae. The record is from Rfam.
ACUAAUGGACAUGCCACCCUGAACAAGCCCUGACCCUGCUUAGCUUCCGAGAUCUCGUCUGAUCUCGGAAGCUAAGCAGGGUCAGGCCUGGUCAGUACUUGAAUGGGAGACCACCUAGGAAUACCAGGUGCUAUAGGCA